UCCUACGGGGCGCAGCAGUGGGGAAUAUUGGGCAAUGGGCGCAAGCCUGACCCAGCAACGCCGCGUGAAGGAAGAAGGCUUUCGGGUUGUAAACUUCUUUUAUGAGGGACGAAAGAAAUGACGGUACCUCAUGAAUAAGCCACGGCUAACUACGUGCCAGCAGCCGCGGUAAUACGUAGGUGGCAAGCGUUAUCCGGAUUUACUGGGUGUAAAGGGCGUGUAGGCGGGACUGCAAGUCAGAUGUGAAAAUUAGGGGCUCAACCCAUAACCUGCAUUUGAAACUGUAGGUCUUGAGUGAUGGAGAG
RNAcentral lists this ribosomal RNA (305 nucleotides) under uncultured bacterium. RNAcentral describes it as "bacterial SSU rRNA". It matches the Rfam family "Bacterial small subunit ribosomal RNA", at positions 337 to 656 of the family's 1533-position model. The record is from RNAcentral.